Dermacentor albipictus is the source of this 1897-nucleotide non-coding RNA. Lineage: Eukaryota; Metazoa; Arthropoda; Arachnida; Ixodida; Ixodidae. The record is from RefSeq and is a predicted model, not a curated record.
GCCGUGGAGUGAGCGACAUUAUCUCAAUAUUGCCACUUGACCGCUACAUUAGAAAAGUGUUUUCUUUACCACUUUGUUGCUGUUUUCUCAUCACGCAUAUGAUUGUAAGGAGCCUCAACAACUUGUAUGACACUAGGAAAGAAAACAAGAAGAGCUUGGUGGCACAACCCUCCACCCAGUUCCAAAGGGAACGCUCAUACUGUCCAUCCGAAGUGCCAAAGAGGAGUGGCGUUGCAUUACACGCGUCAUACGGGGAGGGGGCAUUCUAGAGAUCGUUGAAUUCAUAUUUCAUGAAACUUAGCACUUGUGCGAUUGGAACGAGAAAUGAAUUUCUGGAAGCCUCUAUUUAUUUGUGCAACAUGGUUGCCUUGCAUUUACACCGCAGAUCGCAACGCGCACCUACUGUUCACGGCGAAGUGCUGAAGAAACAACUUGUCCGGUGCUGCUUCUGCGAGUGCGCUGAGUUCCUCCACUCUGCGUGACUGCGAGCGUCACGAACAUUACAUAGUGUGGGCAAAAGGUAGACAUCCUAUAUAGCUACGAUGCGACGAGGUGGUACCGACGAUGGAUCUCGCUACCAACACAGUGAAGGAGACUUCGACAAACUGCAGAUAAGUAUAUUUCUACUGUUUCAUAUUUAGCAUAAUAAGAGUGCACGGAUUAAGUCACUUUCGUAGUAACGAACUGAAUGUCCAGCAGUUUAAAGAAGGCAGUGAUAACCAAUGAGUGUUCGUGCUUUUACGUGCAAGUGGGCCUGCGAAAAUAUGGAAUAGAUGAAGGUAACCUUCACUAACUUGGUGAGGCAACAGAAAUUCAUGAGUGACAUUAAGCUAGAAAAUUUAUGGAAGAGUAUCUUUAUCCAAGUGAAAUAUCAAUAGCAAGUACUGAUAUAAAGCAGGAAACUUAUACAAACAUUUCAUGGGUUGAACAGCACAUGGAAGGCAUUACCGAAUCGUGAUCGCCACGUUACCGAUAUCCUUGAAAAAAGUCUAGAAUCAUUGCAUUCCACCGGUUAUGCAAUAUGGGACAUAAACCUGGAGGUUAACAAAGAAACUUGAGAUGUCAAGGACUGUGUAGAAAGCGAAGUAACAAAAAUUGUUGCAGAUAGCAUUAAGGCAGGAAGACAGUGGCGUAGUAAACCGUGGCAAGUGAUAUGCUAGUUGAGAUUAAAAAAGAAAGGAAUCGGCAGGCAGGCCAUGCACGUAUUCGAUCACUUGUUGCCAAUUCAUAUCAGGUGAUUACAUAAGCAUUACAGAAUGAAUGUCAAGGAGAGAGAACUACAGCCAACGAUGGUAGAAAAUUGCGUAAUGGGACAAGAAUAUGAUGUUUGUAGGCAUAGGAUGCAAUCAGCUCGUAUAAGACGGGAUUGUAGGGUGAGGCAUUUGUUUUGCAGCGAACAAAAAUAGGUUUGUGGUGCUGACAGUAGAGACUUGUGAAGGUGCAGGGCCACCUCAGCUGCUGGCACACUAAUCAACAUGACAAUUGGCUGUGAAAAAGAAAACCCCAGUUUUGAAAAAUAAAGCAAUGUUGUCCCAACGCAUUGUUUUACUAAGCAUACUACGCUAGAGGCUUCCACAUUUAAGGGCACUUAGUACUAAUAGUGCAACGAGCAUUUUUCUUUGUAAAUAAUGGUUUGUAUGUGGCUGAUUCAUUCCAAUACACUUUUUUGCAGCAAAACAUUCUGCUGCUGGAGCCACUCAACCGCCUGGUGGCAGUAGGCGAGCGCCAGGCACGUGCUCUUGAGAGUGUGGCAAAGGUCCAGAGGGCUGCUCCGCAACAGUAGUAUCGGUGCCCUCACUGCUGUCCUGUCGAGCCCACAGAAGGCACCUUAUAAAGGAGCUUUCAGUUUAAUAUUUUGUUUAUUAUUCAAGAACAUGAAUAAAAUUAUUGCAGUAAA